CUACGGGUCGCUGCAGUGAGGAAUUUUGCGCAAUGGGGGAAACCCUGACGCAGCAACGCCGCGUGAGUGAGGAAGGCCCUUGGGUCGUAAAGCUCUGUCAAUGGGGAAGAAGUUAUUAUGUGUUAAUAGCACAUUUUAUUGACGGUACCCAUGAAGGAAGCACCGGCUAACUCCGUGCCAGCAGCCGCGGUAAUACGGGGGGUGCAAGCGUUAUUCGGAAUUAUUGGGCGUAAAGGGCACGCAGGCGGUCCUGUCAGUCAGAUGUGAAAGCCCGGGGCUCAACCCCGGACGUGCAUUUGAAACAGCAGGACUUGAGUACGGGAGAGGAAAGGGGAAUUCCUGGUGUAGAGGUGAAAUUCGUAGAUAUCAGGAGGAACACCGGUGGCGAAGGCGCCUUUCUGGACCGAUACUGACGCUGAGGUGCGAAGGCGUGGGUAGCGAACGGGAUUAGAUACCCCGGUAGUC
Molecule: ribosomal RNA, 465 nt
Filed under: uncultured bacterium
Lineage: Bacteria
Description: partial 16S ribosomal RNA
Rfam family: Bacterial small subunit ribosomal RNA
Source: RNAcentral